Molecule: ribosomal RNA, 260 nt
Filed under: uncultured bacterium
Lineage: Bacteria
Description: partial small subunit ribosomal RNA
Rfam family: Bacterial small subunit ribosomal RNA
Source: RNAcentral
AGGACGAACGCUGGCGGCGUGCUUAACACAUGCAAGUCGAGCGAGGCCCACCUUUCGGGGUGGUGUCCUAGCGGCGAACGGGUGAGUAACACGUGGGCAACCUGCCCUCAGCUCUGGGAUAACUCCAAGAAAUUGGGGCUAAUACCGGAUAUGACUGCUGACCGCAUGGUCUGGUGGUGGAAAGAUUUAUCGGCUGGGGAUGGGCCCGCGGCCUAUCAGCUUGUUGGUGGGGUAGUGGCCUACCAAGGCGACGACGGGUA